Molecule: transfer RNA, 69 nt
Filed under: Dasymys incomtus (African marsh rat)
Lineage: Eukaryota; Metazoa; Chordata; Mammalia; Rodentia; Muridae
Description: tRNA-Asp
Source: RNAcentral
GAGAUAUUAGUAAAAUCAUUACAUAACUUUGUCAAAGUUAAAUCAUAGACCAAAACUCUAUAUAUCUUA